RNAcentral lists this ribosomal RNA (459 nucleotides) under uncultured bacterium. RNAcentral's name for it is "partial 16S ribosomal RNA". It matches the Rfam family "Bacterial small subunit ribosomal RNA", at positions 338 to 795 of the family's 1533-position model. The record is from RNAcentral.
CCUACGGGUGGCAGCAGUGAGGAAUAUUGGUCAAUGGCCGGAAGGCUGAACCAGCCAAGCCGCGUGAAGGACGAAGGUGCCAAGCAUUGUAAACUUCUUUUGUCAGGGAACAAAAUCAGGCACGAGAGCCUGACCGAGUGUACUUGAAGAAAAAGCAUCGGCUAACUCCGUGCCAGCAGCCGCGGUAAUACGGAGGAUGCGAGCGUUAUCCGGGUUUAUUGGGUUUAAGGGGUGCGUAGGCGGGCUGUUAAGUCAGAGGUAAAAGCCCGGGGCUCAACCCCGGCGAGCCGUUGAAACUGGCUGUCUUGAGAGGGGGAGAGGUAUGCGGAAUGCGCAGUGUAGCGGUGAAAUGCUUAGAUAUUGCGCAGAACUCCGAUUGCGAAGGCAGCAUACCGGCGGCGAUCUGACGCUGAGGCACGAAAGCGUGGGUAUCGAACAGGAUUAGAUACCCGGGUAGUC